UGGGGAAUCUUGGACAAUGGGGGCAACCCUGAUCCAGCGAUGCCGCGUGAGCGAUGAAGGCCUUAGGGUUGUAAAGCUCUUUCACCGGUGACGAUAAUGACGGUAGCCGGAGAAGAAGCCCCGGCUAACUCCGUGCCAGCAGCCGCGGUAAUACGGAGGGGGCUAGCGUUGUUCGGAAUUACUGGGCGUAAAGCGCGCGUAGGCGGAUGUUCAAGUCGGGGGUGAAAUCCCGGGGCUCAACCCCGGAACUGCCCUUGAAACUAGGUAGCUAGAAUACUGGAGAGGUGAGUGGAAUUCCGAGUGUAGAGGUGAAAUUCGUAGAUAUUCGGAAGAACACCAGUGGCGAAGGCGACUCACUGGACAGUUAUUGACGCUGAGGUGCGAAAGCGUGGGGAGCAAACAGGAUUAGAUACCCCUGUAGUCC
This 424-nucleotide ribosomal RNA is filed under the name uncultured prokaryote. RNAcentral's name for it is "bacterial SSU rRNA". It matches the Rfam family "Bacterial small subunit ribosomal RNA", at positions 355 to 796 of the family's 1533-position model. The record is from RNAcentral.